GGGCCUCUCUCCCCGGCACCCCGCCGCCAGCGCGCCCUGGGCUCCCCCUCCCCGGACCGUCCUCCAGGGGCCACCUCGAGCCCGCGCGGUCACAGAAGGGAGAGAAGACCCGGGAGUGAAGGGCUCCCCCCACCCCCAACACGGAAAUCGGGCCGGGAAAGAGCCGAUCCCUGGAGUGCCCACCCGAGCAGGUCGGGCCGGAGACGCGGCGGGCGGCUGAAGGGAAGGCUGGUGCCCCCCCCACCCCCCCGCCGACUCGUGCUGCACCUGGGAGCGAGUCUGGAGCGCCCCGGCUCUGAAGUCUAGGGGCUGCGGUCCUGCUGAGCCGAUGGGGGCCGGCGGGCCCACCCCGAACCGCCCUGCGUAGGUUUCGGGACCGCAGGUCAGGGAGUCCGCACAACCCCGCCGCCCCGCGAGUUCAAGCCCAGAUAGUCUCAGGACUGUGUGUGGGACACGAGAGUGAACUUUUUCGGGGUGAUUCUGACCUCUGCCCCCCAACUCAGCCACGGACACGGGGCUUUUUACCCUCCCUCCUGCCUCUCCGUCUGGAAACACAGGUGCCAUUCGGUUCUGGCGACCUCAAACCGUUUGUGAUGGAGUUUGGUUAAAGUGGACACAUGGCUGGAUCACACACACGUCUACACAGCCUCUCCAUCCGGAGUCUGGGAGGAAAAGCGCUUUGUUGGCCGAGAGUGCGCAGGGGCCUGGGCUCUCCUCUGGCUUCCCUCCUCUGGUCCACCGCUGGGUUGGAGAACCCCUUCUUCUGUUGGGAGGGAGGUGUGGACGCGCACGACUUGUGUAUGGACAAGUGCAAAGCUGGAGGAGUGAGAAAACUUUAAUCCUACGGAGGCCGGAGCUCGCAGGUCUGCUCUUCCGCCAAGGGAUGAGCCGGGAUUCCCUGCAGAAGGAGCUGAGCCCUCUCCGGCCGGAGACCACUCCGCUGGCGGAAGCUUGGUUCCCUAAUUCCUUUUACCAGGUGCAGCCCUGACUCUCCGAGCUCCACCCUCCCCUGCCCCAGUGUUUGCCCGCAGCCCCAACCGCAGGGAGCUGAUUUACUAGGGAUUCCGAUGGAUGCUCUCUUUUGGCUGGCACCCCAACUUUUCACUCAAGCACCACGAGACUGGAGGGUGAAGGUGACCAGGACUCAGAGCUGGAGGCUUCUGUACAGAACCUGCAUGACAACCCUUCAAGGUCCCUGUUGGAUGUGACAGCACCGUGUGGGUGUGUCAGAGCUGAACUCUUGUCUUCGGCCCCCGUGUCU
RNAcentral lists this long non-coding RNA (1261 nucleotides) under Sus scrofa (pig). Its description in RNAcentral is "lncRNA (ENSSSCG00035068872.1)". Lineage: Eukaryota; Metazoa; Chordata; Mammalia; Artiodactyla; Suidae. The record is from RNAcentral.